CACGUAGGGUGCAAGCGUUAAUCGGAAUUACUGGGCGUAAAGCGUGCGCAGGCGGUUUUGUAAGUCUGACGUGAAAUCCCCGGGCUCAACCUGGGAAUUGCGUUGGAGACUGCAAGGCUAGAAUCUGGCAGAGGGGGGUAGAAUUCCACGUGUAGCAGUGAAAUGCGUAGAGAUGUGGAGGAACACCGAUGGCGAAGGCAGCCCCCUGGGUCAAGAUUGACGCUCAUGCACGAAAGCGUGGGGAGCAAACAGG
Molecule: ribosomal RNA, 253 nt
Filed under: uncultured bacterium
Lineage: Bacteria
Description: partial 16S ribosomal RNA
Rfam family: Bacterial small subunit ribosomal RNA
Source: RNAcentral